Molecule: ribosomal RNA, 251 nt
Filed under: uncultured prokaryote
Description: partial 16S rRNA
Rfam family: Bacterial small subunit ribosomal RNA
Source: RNAcentral
ACGGAGGAUCCGAGCGUUAUCCGGAUUUAUUGGGUUUAAAGGGCGCGUAGGCGGAGGAAUAAGUCGGGGGUGAAAGCUUGCAGCUCAACUGCAAAAUUGCCGUUGAAACUGUUUUUCUUGAGUGUAAAUGAGGUAGGCGGAAUGUGGUGUGUAGAGGUGAAAUGCUUAGAUAUGACACAGAACACCGAUUGCGAAGGCAGCUUACUAAGAUACAACUGACGCUGAGGCGCGAAAGCGUGGGGAUCGAACAG